This 114-nucleotide ribosomal RNA is filed under the name uncultured bacterium. RNAcentral's name for it is "partial 16S ribosomal RNA". It matches the Rfam family "Bacterial small subunit ribosomal RNA", at positions 393 to 525 of the family's 1533-position model. The record is from RNAcentral.
CACGCCGCGUGGAUGAGGACGCAUUUCGGUGUGUAAACUCCUUUUAUAUGUCAGAUAAUGACGGUAGCAUAUGAAUAAGCACCGGCUAACUCCGUGCCAGCAGCCGCGGUAAUA